Molecule: ribosomal RNA, 493 nt
Filed under: uncultured bacterium
Lineage: Bacteria
Description: bacterial SSU rRNA
Rfam family: Bacterial small subunit ribosomal RNA
Source: RNAcentral
CUCGGGAUGAACGCUGGCGGCGUGCCUAACACAUGCAAGUCGAACGGACCGUUUAAUGACAGAGACUCGGUCGACGAAGUUUAAGGUAGUGGCGGACGGGUGAGUACGCGUGGAGAACCUGCCCUGUACUGGGGGAUAACAGUGAGAAAUUACUGCUAAUACCGCAUAAGCGCACGGGACCGCAUGGUCUUGUGUGAAAAAACUCCGGUGGUACAGGAUGGCUCCGCGUUGGAUUAGCCAGUUGGCGGGGUAACGGCCCACCAAAGCGACGAUCCAUAGCCGGCCUGAGAGGGUGAACGGCCACAUUGGGACUGAGACACGGCCCAGACUCCUACGGGAGGCAGCAGUGGGGGAUAUUGCACAAUGGGGGGAACCCUGAUGCAGCGACGCCGCGUGAAGGAAGAAGUAUCUCGGUAUGUAAACUUCUAUCAGCAGGGAAGAAAAUGACGGUACCUGACUAAGAAGCCCCGGCUAACUACGUGCCAGCCGCCGC